Molecule: small RNA, 558 nt
Filed under: chicken gut metagenome
Source: RNAcentral
AGUAUUGAGUGGCGCAGUAUUCUAGUCAGUCGAUGCAGACGUGAAGGCGGGGGUAAAAGACCGUCGCAGGGCAUAUCUAUGAAGUUUCUGGUUUCUGCUUGCUUUGCCCAAAAGCGGGUGGUUGCUGGGAGUAAAGGUUUAUGGGAACUGCAUAACGGCAUAUGACAGCCAACCCAUUCACCGCGGAGGCCGCAUUUUUUGCGGAUAAACCUGCUGCCGGGCGCAAGCUCGGCACAGAGUAGCCUGCCUUGAGUGAUGCCGGCGGAUAGCGGAACAGGCGCAUGCGGUGCGGCCACACCGUGCGCAGCCAUUGCCGUUUGAAAUCGGUUUUGCAAAAGAGGAUAAACCCUGCGUCAGCUGUCAAGGAAAGCUUCUAGACUGUCAAUAUAUUAGAGAUUACGGUGUGGACUCAGUGGCGAUUCGGUUGCGUAAAAGGAAACUUUACGACCGCGCCCUUAAAAGGAAACUGCUUCUUCGGCGACGGGAAGCGGGCGCGCGGGGAAAUCCUACCGAACCUUAAGCCGCAAAGUUUAUUUAAUAUAAGCCACUACAUAUUUA